GACAGAGGCCCCAAGCGUUAGGCGGAAUCACUGGGCUUAAAGCGUGUGUAGGCGGAUCGUUAAGUGUCUUGUGAAAUCCCACGGCUCACCCGUGGAACUGCUGGGCAUACUGGCGAUCUUGGGCCAACUAGGGGCGAGUCGGAACAAGCGGUGGAGCGGUGAAUGCGUAGAUAUCGCUGGAACGCCGAAGGUGAAACAGACUGCUGGGUGCGCCGACGCUGAGACACGAAAGCCAGGGAGCAAACGGG
RNAcentral lists this ribosomal RNA (248 nucleotides) under uncultured bacterium. RNAcentral's name for it is "partial 16S ribosomal RNA". It matches the Rfam family "Bacterial small subunit ribosomal RNA", at positions 524 to 776 of the family's 1533-position model. The record is from RNAcentral.